UACGAAGGGGGCUAGCGUUGUUCGGAAUUACUGGGCGUAAAGCGCAUGCAGGCGGAUUGCUAAGUCAGGGGUGAAAGCCCGAGGCUCAACCUCGGAACUGCCUUUGAUACUGGCGAUCUUGAGUCCGGGAGAGGUGAGUGGAACUCCGAGUGUAGAGGUGAAAUUCGUAGAUAUUCGGAAGAACACCAGUGGCGAAGGCGGCUCACUGGCCCGGUACUGACGCUGAGAUGCGAAAGCGUGGGGAGCAAACAGG
RNAcentral lists this ribosomal RNA (253 nucleotides) under uncultured bacterium. RNAcentral's name for it is "partial 16S ribosomal RNA". It matches the Rfam family "Bacterial small subunit ribosomal RNA", at positions 524 to 776 of the family's 1533-position model. The record is from RNAcentral.